UACGGAGGGGGUUAGCGUUGUCCGGAUUUAUUGGGCGUAAAGGGCUCGUAGGCGGUUCAACAAGCCGGCCGUGAAAGUCUGGGGCUCAACCCCAGGAAGCCGAUCGGAACUGUUGUGACUAGGGUCCGGUAGAGGUGACUGGAAUUCUCGGUGUAGCGGUGAAAUGCGCAGAUAUCGAGAGGAACACCCGUAGCGAAGGCGGGUCACUGGGCCGGUACCGACGCUGAGGAGCGAAAGCGUGGGGAGCAAACAGG
Molecule: unclassified non-coding RNA, 254 nt
Filed under: uncultured Acidimicrobiia bacterium
Lineage: Bacteria; Bacillati; Actinomycetota; Acidimicrobiia
Description: contains 16S-23S intergenic spacer region
Rfam family: Bacterial small subunit ribosomal RNA
Source: RNAcentral